GUUUCUAUAUUGGGUUCUGGCCAAACCCAUUACCCGGUUUUUAUGUUCUAUUGAUUCGCCUAAGCCAUCUCUUAGGCGAAUCAAUGACCAAGUCGGCUUCUGGAUAGUUUGCAACCAAUAAAAGCACUAACAGGAGAGUGACAAGGAAAGGGUUCUGAAAGAAGUUGUGAAUUGUUGUUGGAAAUAUGAGUUCUGAAGCUUUACAUGCUGUGAAAGUGUACCGACAGCUUCUAAACGCUAUCAAGAAACAUAUUGGCCAGGAAGAUUACAAGAAGCAUUUUGGAGAAUUUGUAAUGUUAGAAUUCCGAAAGAACACCAAUCUCUUUGAUCAUUCUGCCAUUGAGCAAAAAAUCAAGCUUGCCCGCGACUAUACUUUUCUGCUUAAUAGUGUGCACCAUCACAAGAUACUCUUCUCUUUCAUUGCCCUGGGUUACGAUGGAGUAAAAUGUUCUACAUUGCAUGCUUGAAGGUAUUGUCUUUACUGUGGCACAAUGAAAUGAGUUUGGUUUUUCCAUUAGAUUGACAAUACAAAUUUCCUUUAAACAAUCAAGAGAUUGUGAAAAGUCAAUAGUCGGGACUCCUUUUUGGUAUGUAAUGUAGGUUUUUUCUUUCUUUUGAGGGGAAUGUGAUGAGUGAUGUAGUCCUCCUAGGAAUUUGUUCUUUCUUGGUGCAUGUCUUAUGUUCUCUGUUCCUGCCUGCAAUAAUAGUUUAUGCUCUCCAAUUCCUUAAUUUA
Ricinus communis (castor bean) is the source of this 733-nucleotide long non-coding RNA. RefSeq lists it as uncharacterized. The record is from RefSeq and is a predicted model, not a curated record. The transcript has 2 exons. Lineage: Eukaryota; Viridiplantae; Streptophyta; Magnoliopsida; Malpighiales; Euphorbiaceae.